RNAcentral lists this non-coding RNA (121 nucleotides) under Caballeronia telluris. Its description in RNAcentral is "Burkholderia telluris TPP sequence". It matches the Rfam family "TPP riboswitch aptamer (THI element)". Rfam says of the family: Vitamin B(1) in its active form thiamin pyrophosphate (TPP) is an essential coenzyme that is synthesised by coupling of pyrimidine and thiazole moieties in bacteria. The previously detected thiamin-regulatory element, thi box was extended, resulting in a new, highly conserved RNA secondary structure, the THI element, which is widely distributed in eubacteria and also occurs in some archaea. Analysis of operon structures identified a large number of new candidate thiamin-regulated genes, mostly transporters, in various prokaryotic organisms. The record is from Rfam by way of RNAcentral. Lineage: Bacteria; Pseudomonadati; Pseudomonadota; Betaproteobacteria; Burkholderiales; Burkholderiaceae.
UCGACGAAACAGGGGUGCUUUGCGCGCGUUUCCCGCAACACGAAACGCGCGACGAGGCUGAGAGAAACCCUUUGCACCCGAUCCGGGUAAUACCGGCGAGGGAAGUUUCCGGAAAACGCCA